CCCUUUAGCUCAGUUGGUUAGAGCAUCUGACUGUUAAUCAGAGGGUCGCUGGUUCAAGUCCAGCAGGGGGA
This 71-nucleotide transfer RNA is filed under the name Bacteroidota bacterium. RNAcentral's name for it is "Bacteroidetes bacterium tRNA-Asn". It matches the Rfam family "tRNA". Rfam says of the family: Transfer RNA (tRNA) molecules are approximately 80 nucleotides in length. Their secondary structure includes four short double-helical elements and three loops (D, anti-codon, and T loops). The record is from RNAcentral. Lineage: Bacteria; Pseudomonadati; Bacteroidota.